RNAcentral lists this transfer RNA (70 nucleotides) under Phrynosoma platyrhinos (Desert horned lizard). RNAcentral's name for it is "tRNA-OTHER". The record is from RNAcentral. Lineage: Eukaryota; Metazoa; Chordata; Lepidosauria; Squamata; Phrynosomatidae.
GCCAGUGUGGCUUAGUGGCUUGAGCAUUGGACUACAACUCGAGACCAGGGUUCGAUUCCCCACUUGGCCA